GAUGAAGAACGUAGCGAAAUGCGAUAAGUAGUGUGAAUUGCAGAAUUCCAGUGAGUCAUCGAAUCUUUGAACGCACAUUGCGCCCUUUGGCAUUCCGAAGGGCAUGCCUGUUCGAGCGUCAUUAUCACCCCUCAAGCCCCCCUGGCUUGGUGUUGGACGGUUUUGGUGGGACGUGCAGCCUCUCACCCCUCCUAAAGACAAUGACGGCGGCGUCGUUGGAACCCCCGGUACACUGAGCUUCUUAACUGAGCACGUACUGGAUGCGGGUACGCGAUGCACGGUCUGCCUCCCCUUUAGGGAGAACUUUUUCUUAAGGUUGACCUCGGAUCAGGUAGGAAUACCCGCUGAACUUAAGCAUAUCAAUAAGCGGAGGA
RNAcentral lists this unclassified non-coding RNA (374 nucleotides) under soil metagenome. RNAcentral's name for it is "partial contains 5.8S ribosomal RNA, internal transcribed spacer 2, and large subunit ribosomal RNA". The stretch from base 1 to 121 matches the Rfam family "5.8S ribosomal RNA", at positions 35 to 154 of the family's 154-position model. The record is from RNAcentral.